CGCGUGGAUAAUCUACCCUUAAGAUCGGGAUAACAGUAGGAAACGACUGCUAAUACCGUAUGUCCUGCAUAUUUAACUUUAUGUGGAAAAGGUGGCCUCUAUUUAUAAGCUACCGCUUUUGGAUGAGUCCGCGUCUCAUUAGCUUGUUGGUGGGGUAAUGGCCUACCAAGGCGACGAUGAGUAGCUGGUCUGAGAGGAUGAUCAGCCACACUGGGACUGAAACACGGCCCAGACUCCUACGGGAGGCAGCAGUGGGGAAUAUUGCGCAAUGGGGGAAACCCUGACGCAGCGACGCCGCGUGUAGGAAGAAGGCCUUCGGGUCGUAAACUACUGUCAAGAGGGAAGAAACUGUUAAGGUUUAAUACGCCUUUUCACUGACGGUACCUCUAGAGGAAGCACCGGCUAACUCCGUGCCAGCAGCCGCGGUAAUACGGAGGGUGCGAGCGUUAAUCGGAAUCACUGGGCGUAAAGCGUGCGUGGGCGGCGUGGAAAGUCAGACGUGAAAACCCUCGGCUCAACCGAGGAAUUGCGUUUGAAACUGCCAUGCUAGAGUCUCGGAGAGGUUGGCGGAAUUCCAGGUGUAGGAGUGAAAUCCGUAGAUAUCUGGAGGAACACCGGUGGCGAAGGCGGCCAACUGGACGAGUACUGACGCUGAGGUACGAAAGCGUGGGGAGCAAACAGGAUUAGAUACCCUGGUAGUCCACGCUGUAAACGAUAGAUAUUAGGUGUCGGGAUUUUAUCUCGGUGCCGCAGUUAACGCGUUAAAUAUCCCGCCUGGGAGAACGGUCGCAAAGCUGAAACUCAAAGGAAUUAACGGGGGCCGCACAAGCGGUGGAAUAUGUGGUUUAAUUCGAUGCAACGCGAAGAACCUUACCUGGGCUUAACAUCCUGAGAACCCUCCCGAAACGGAGGGGUGCUUCGGGGAAUUCAGUAACAGGUGCUGCAUGGCUGUCGUCAGCUCGUGCCGUGAGGUGUUGGGUUAAGUCCCGCAACGAGCGCAACCCCUAUUGUUAGUUGCCAGCAAGUAAAGUUGGGCACUCUAAUGAAACUGCCCGGGUCAACCGGGAGGAAGGUGGGGACGACGUCAAGUCAUCAUGGCCCUUACGCCCAGGGCAACACACGUACUACAAUGGUGCAUACAAAGGGCAGCGAAGCCGCGAGGCCAAGCCAAUCCCAGAAAAUGCAUCCCAGUCCGGAUCGGAAUCUGCAACUCGACUCCGUGAAGUUGGAAUCGCUAGUACCCCGGCACAGCAUGCCGGGGUGAAUACGUUCCCGGGCCUUGUACACAC
Molecule: ribosomal RNA, 1289 nt
Filed under: Desulfovibrionaceae bacterium MSL80
Lineage: Bacteria; Pseudomonadati; Thermodesulfobacteriota; Desulfovibrionia; Desulfovibrionales; Desulfovibrionaceae
Description: bacterial SSU rRNA
Rfam family: Bacterial small subunit ribosomal RNA
Source: RNAcentral